CCUACGGGUGGCUGCAGUGAGGAAUAUUGGUCAAUGGGCUUACGCCUGAACCAGCCAAGUCGCGUGCGGGAAGACUGCCCUAUGGGUUGUAAACCUCUUUUGUCAGGGAGCAACGCCGGCUACGUGUAGCCGGACUGAGAGUACCUGAAGAAAAAGCAUCGGCUAACUCCGUGCCAGCAGCCGCGGUAAUACGGAGGAUGCGAGCGUUAUCCGGAUUUAUUGGGUUUAAAGGGUGCGUAGGCGGAAUGCCAAGUCAGCGGUAAAAUCGCGGGGCGAAACCUCGCUCCGCCGUUGAAACUGGCGUGCAUGAGUAGGCGGAAAGGAGGUGGAAUGCGUGGUGGAGCGGGGAAAGGCAUAGACAUGAAGCAGAACCCAGAGUGCGAAGGCAGCAUACGGGAGCGCAACUGACGCUGAAGCACGAAAGCGGGGGUAUCGAACAGGAUUAGAUACCCCAGGAGUC
This 460-nucleotide ribosomal RNA is filed under the name uncultured bacterium. RNAcentral describes it as "partial 16S ribosomal RNA". It matches the Rfam family "Bacterial small subunit ribosomal RNA", at positions 338 to 795 of the family's 1533-position model. The record is from RNAcentral.